Molecule: long non-coding RNA, 654 nt
Organism: Tupaia belangeri chinensis (Chinese tree shrew)
Lineage: Eukaryota; Metazoa; Chordata; Mammalia; Scandentia; Tupaiidae
Exons: 2
Source: RefSeq, a predicted model, not a curated record
UUCUUGCGCCCGCGACCCGGAAGAUGAGGCACCCUCUGACCCGAUCCCAUCCCCGGGGCCGGAUGCUGUGGGCAAGGCUGGCGCCCGAGUGCUUAUGGCGGAUCCAGAGUUCAGUUAGAACACCUCCGGUGACCCCGGGGCCGGGAGGAGCCGCCUCCACUGCCCAUCUGAUUGUGGCAACGCCUCCGCCUCCCAUCUGGGUAGUUAUAGCUGCAGCUUUACCGUCUCCGCUGCCUCAUGGGAGCCCGGGUGAACUCGAGGUUGGUCCCUGAGCCACAUCUGAACCCUCAGAAUGUCUCCAGAUGAAGAAGGUUUAUUUUUUACUUCUUCCAGGAGCAAGAGACAGCAGAGAGAGAGGCACCCCAAGAGGGUCUUCAUACCACAAUCUGUCUUAGCUCAGCCAGCUUAGAUCAUGGUUGUGUAUGGAGAGACCUUGAGACAAGAACCUGGGACCUUCAAACAUGAGUCCAGCAUCACAGAGCAUUCCAUUACUGCUGUGCUACCAAGGCUGGCCUUCCCAUCUUGUUUCUUGGUGUUACUGUGUGCCCAACUUCUGUGAUAAUGUCAGAAUGUCUAGCUUUCCACUUCAAGAAAGCAUUCCAUCCUUUGCUCCCUCUUUCUUGGCUUCUAAUGAAUAAAGGAAGAUAUUCUAAG